AAAUCCGUCGAUCCAUAAAACUUAAGUCCCUCCACCCCCA
Molecule: transfer RNA, 40 nt
Filed under: Trichophorum rigidum
Lineage: Eukaryota; Viridiplantae; Streptophyta; Magnoliopsida; Poales; Cyperaceae
Description: partial transfer RNA-Leu
Source: RNAcentral